UUCUUCUUCCUUGCGGGAUUUCAGGCAAGAUGACCAUUACCCUCGAUAUCACUUCUAUCUUUGCUUGCUAGUUGCUUUAUUUUAUCGCUAUCCUGCGCUACCUAUCACUUGUUUACCAUGCCUCCCAUAUUGCCAUGUCAGCCUCUAACCUUUUCACCCUUCCUAGCAAACCGUUGCUUGGCUAUGUUACCGCUUUGCUCAGCCCCUCUUAUAGCGUUGUUAGUUGGAGGUGAAGUUGAAGAUUGCUCCAUGAUUCCGAGUCUUAUUGGGUCUUCUUGGGAGAAGGUAUAUCCUUCGUUGAUCGCGAGAGCUUAUCAUGGGCUAAGUUGGGACACCCCUGCAGGGUAUAAUCUUUCGAAAGCUGUGCCCGCGGUUAUAUGGCAGAUGGGAAUUUUUUAAUGUCCGGUUGUAGAUAACUUGACACUUGACCUCUUUAAAAUGCAUCAACCGCGUGUGUAGCCGUGAUGGUCUCUUUUCGGCGGAGUCCGGGAAGUGAACACGGUUUUGGGUUAUGUUUGACGUAAGUAGGAGUUCAGGAUCACUUCUUGAUCAUUGCUAGUUUCACGACCGUUCCAUUUUCUCUCUUCUCGCUCUUAUUUGCGUAUGUUAGCCACCAUAUUUACUUAGUGCUUGCUGCAACUCCACCUCAUUACCACUUCCUACCUAUAAGCUUAAAUAGUCUUGAUCUCGCGGGUUUUGAGAUUGCUGAGUCCUCGUGACUCAUCAGAUACUAUCACAACAGUUGCAGGUGCCGAUGAUACCAGUGCAGGUGAUGCAACCGAGCUCAGAUGGGAGCUGAACGCAGAUCUUAGUUGUUUCUAUGUUUUGUUUCUUAUUGAUCAGUAGUGGAGCCCAGUUGGGACGAUUGGGGAUCUAGCAGUUGGGUUAUCUUCUUUUCUUUUGGCUUCGUCCGUAGUCGGACUAUGUGUGUACUCUGAAUGUUGUAUGAUUUAUUU
Molecule: long non-coding RNA, 956 nt
Filed under: Triticum aestivum (bread wheat)
Lineage: Eukaryota; Viridiplantae; Streptophyta; Magnoliopsida; Poales; Poaceae
Description: long non-coding RNA (TAES_LNC016794)
Source: RNAcentral